AGUACCCCAAUUUCCUCAAGGUUGGGUUAAUUCAUUUACCCAGCAACAAUCAUUACAACAGCCACCAAGAGUUUGGAGCAAUCAAACUUCAUCUGAAGCACUAAUUCGGGAAGUCCUAACAAAGCAAGAAAUGAUCCUUGAGCAACAGACAUUUAUUUUGCGUCUUCUUCAAGCACGGCAAAACACCCAGGAUUGUGAAAUUGAAGAAGGGCUUCUGCCAGUGCAUGAUAUAGAAGCGCUACAAAACGUGGAAGUACAACUUAGUAAUGGAGAAUUCAAAGAGAGAUUGAUGAAUCACUUAAGUCUUAUUGGAGGGUGUGACAUAAAGGAUGCAGUCUGGCGGCUAAUGAGGAAAACAAUUUCCAAUAGCCUUGCUAGAAACAUGAAUUGGAAGGGGUUGAAUGGGAAGACAUCAUUUGCAGCACUGCGAUUGAAGGAUGUGAUGAUUGCUGCAGUUCGAAAAAAUCCACUGAUGUCCAAAGCAACAGAUCAUGAUGUGGAAUCUGUCAUGAAAAGAUGGCUGCAGCUUGCUUUAGAUCGAGAGGGCGGCAGAAAACGGCGGCAAAAAACAGACUCAUAAAAUGUCUCUCUUGUUCAAUCAACCACCCACCCACUUUCACCCACCAGUAUGUGUGCCAGAUGUGUAUAUGCUAAUAUUCACACACUAGUCAUUCAUUUUGUUUGUAAUAUUCUUUAAAAUUUAGGAUGAAAAAAAAAGCAAAAUUUUCAAUUUUGUGAAAUAUUUUUCUUACCAAGUGCUUUGCUGUUCUGAAUUUUCUGAAUUUGAUUGAUGUUUAAAAAAUAAAACCAAUUGAAAACGUA
Brienomyrus brachyistius is the source of this 822-nucleotide long non-coding RNA. RefSeq lists it as uncharacterized. The record is from RefSeq and is a predicted model, not a curated record. Lineage: Eukaryota; Metazoa; Chordata; Actinopteri; Osteoglossiformes; Mormyridae. The transcript is spliced from 4 exons.